ACGGAAGGCAGCAGUGGGGAAUAUUGCACAAUGGGGGAAACCCUGAUGCAGCGACGCCGCGUGAGUGAAGAAGUAUUUCGGUAUGUAAAGCUCUAUCAGCAAGGAAGAAAAUGACGGUACUUGACUAAGAAGCCCCGGCUAACUACGUGCCAGCAGCCGCGGUAAUACGUAGGGGGCAAGCGUUAUCCGGAUUUACUGGGUGUAAAGGGAGCGUAGACGGUAAUGCAAGUCAGAAGUGAAAGCCCAAGGCUCAACCAUGGGACUGCUUUUGAAACUGUAAUACUAGAGCGCAGGAGAGGUAAGUGGAAUUCCUAGUGUAGCGGUGAAAUGCGUAGAUAUUAGGAGGAACACCAGUGGCGAAGGCGGCUUACUGGACUGUAACUGACGUUGAGGCUCGAAAGCGUGGGGAGCAAACAGGAUUAGAUACCCUGGUA
Molecule: ribosomal RNA, 434 nt
Filed under: uncultured Lachnospiraceae bacterium
Lineage: Bacteria; Bacillati; Bacillota; Clostridia; Lachnospirales; Lachnospiraceae
Description: partial 16S ribosomal RNA
Rfam family: Bacterial small subunit ribosomal RNA
Source: RNAcentral